Molecule: transfer RNA, 72 nt
Filed under: Camelus bactrianus (Bactrian camel)
Lineage: Eukaryota; Metazoa; Chordata; Mammalia; Artiodactyla; Camelidae
Also listed under: 2 other names
Rfam family: tRNA
About the family: Transfer RNA (tRNA) molecules are approximately 80 nucleotides in length. Their secondary structure includes four short double-helical elements and three loops (D, anti-codon, and T loops).
Source: Rfam by way of RNAcentral
GAGGGUAUAGCUCAGUGGUAGAGUGUGUGCCUAACAUGCACGAGGUCCUGGGUUCAAUCCCCAGUACCUCCA